RNAcentral lists this ribosomal RNA (1554 nucleotides) under Escherichia coli. RNAcentral's name for it is "bacterial SSU rRNA". It matches the Rfam family "Bacterial small subunit ribosomal RNA". The record is from RNAcentral. Lineage: Bacteria; Pseudomonadati; Pseudomonadota; Gammaproteobacteria; Enterobacterales; Enterobacteriaceae.
AAAUUGAAGAGUUUGAUCAUGGCUCAGAUUGAACGCUGGCGGCAGGCCUAACACAUGCAAGUCGAACGGUAACAGGAAACAGCUUGCUGUUUCGCUGACGAGUGGCGGACGGGUGAGUAAUGUCUGGGAAACUGCCUGAUGGAGGGGGAUAACUACUGGAAACGGUAGCUAAUACCGCAUAACGUCGCAAGACCAAAGAGGGGGACCUUCGGGCCUCUUGCCAUCAGAUGUGCCCAGAUGGGAUUAGCUAGUAGGUGGGGUAACGGCUCACCUAGGCGACGAUCUCUAGCUGGUCUGAGAGGAUGACCAGCCACACUGGAACUGAGACACGGUCCAGACUCCUACGGGAGGCAGCAGUGGGGAAUAUUGCACAAUGGGCGCAAGCCUGAUGCAGCCAUGCCGCGUGUAUGAAGAAGGCCUUCGGGUUGUAAAGUACUUUCAGCGGGGAGGAAGGGAGUAAAGUUAAUACCUUUGCUCAUUGACGUUACCCGCAGAAGAAGCACCGGCUAACUCCGUGCCAGCAGCCGCGGUAAUACGGAGGGUGCAAGCGUUAAUCGGAAUUACUGGGCGUAAAGCGCACGCAGGCGGUUUGUUAAGUCAGAUGUGAAAUCCCCGGGCUCAACCUGGGAACUGCAUCUGAUACUGGCAAGCUUGAGUCUCGUAGAGGGGGGUAGAAUUCCAGGUGUAGCGGUGAAAUGCGUAGAGAUCUGGAGGAAUACCGGUGGCGAAGGCGGCCCCCUGGACGAAGACUGACGCUCAGGUGCGAAAGCGUGGGGAGCAAACAGGAUUAGAUACCCUGGUAGUCCACGCCGUAAACGAUGUCGACUUGGAGGUUGUGCCCUUGAGGCGUGGCUUCCGGAGCUAACGCGUUAAGUCGACCGCCUGGGGAGUACGGCCGCAAGGUUAAAACUCAAAUGAAUUGACGGGGGCCCGCACAAGCGGUGGAGCAUGUGGUUUAAUUCGAUGCAACGCGAAGAACCUUACCUGGUCUUGACAUCCACGGAAGUUUUCAGAGAUGAGAAUGUGCCUUCGGGAACCGUGAGACAGGUGCUGCAUGGCUGUCGUCAGCUCGUGUUGUGAAAUGUUGGGUUAAGUCCCGCAACGAGCGCAACCCUUAUCCUUUGUUGCCAGCGGUCCGGCCGGGAACUCAAAGGAGACUGCCAGUGAUAAACUGGAGGAAGGUGGGGAUGACGUCAAGUCAUCAUGGCCCUUACGACCAGGGCUACACACGUGCUACAAUGGCGCAUACAAAGAGAAGCGACCUCGCGAGAGCAAGCGGACCUCAUAAAGUGCGUCGUAGUCCGGAUUGGAGUCUGCAACUCGACUCCAUGAAGUCGGAAUCGCUAGUAAUCGUGGAUCAGAAUGCCACGGUGAAUACGUUCCCGGGCCUUGUACACACCGCCCGUCACACCAUGGGAGUGGGUUGCAAAAGAAGUAGGUAGCUUAACCUUCGGGAGGGCGCUUACCACUUUGUGAUUCAUGACUGGGGUGAAGUCGUAACAAGGUAACCGUAGGGGAACCUGCGGUUGGAUCACCUCCUUACCUUAAAGAAGC